AGUGAACGCUGGCGGUAGGCCUAACACAUGCAAGUCGAACGGCAGCACAGUAAGAGCUUGCUCUUACGGGUGGCGAGUGGCGGACGGGUGAGGAAUACAUCGGAACCUACUUUUUCGUGGGGGAUAACGUAGGGAAACUUACGCUAAUACCGCAUUCGACCUACGGGUGAAAGCAGGGGAUCUUCGGACCUUGCGCGAUUGAAUGAGCCGAUGUCGGAUUAGCUAGUUGGCGGGGUAAAGGCCCACCAAGGCGACGAUCCGUAGCUGGUCUGAGAGGAUGAUCAGCCACACUGGAACUGAGACACGGUCCAGACUCCUACGGGAGGCAGCAGUGGGGAAUAUUGGACAAAGGGCGCAAGCCUGAUCCAGCCAUACCGCGUGGGUGAAGAAGGCCUUCGGGUUGUAAAGCCCUUUUGUUGGGAAAGAAAAGCAGCAGGUUAAUACCCCGCUGUUCUGACGGUACCCAAAGAAUAAGCACCGGCUAACUUCGUG
Molecule: ribosomal RNA, 492 nt
Filed under: uncultured bacterium
Lineage: Bacteria
Description: partial 16S ribosomal RNA
Rfam family: Bacterial small subunit ribosomal RNA
Source: RNAcentral